CCUACGGGAGGCAGCAGUGGGGAAUAUUGCACAAUGGGGGAAACGCUGAUGCAGCGACGCCGCGUGGGUGACGGAGUAUUUCGGUAUGUAAAGCCCUAUCAGCAGGGAAGAAGAUGACAGUCCCUGACUAAGAAGCCCCGGCUAACUACGUGCCAGCAGCCGCGGUAAGACGUAGGGGGCAAGCGUUAUCCGGAUUUACUGGGUGUAAAGGGAGCGUAGGUGGCAUGGCAAGCCAGAAGUGAAAACCCGGGGCUUAACGGCGCGGAUUGCUUUUGACACUGUCAGGCUGGAUUGCAGAAGGGGCAGGAGGAAUUCGUGGUGUAGCGGUGAAAUGCGUAGAUAUCAGGAGGAACACCGGUGGCGAAGGCGGCCUGCUGGUCUGUAACUGACACUGAGGCUCGAAAGCGUGGGGAGCAAACAGGAUUAGAUACCCUGGUAGUC
RNAcentral lists this ribosomal RNA (441 nucleotides) under uncultured bacterium. RNAcentral describes it as "partial 16S ribosomal RNA". It matches the Rfam family "Bacterial small subunit ribosomal RNA", at positions 338 to 795 of the family's 1533-position model. The record is from RNAcentral.